GUCACUUAAUCCUCCCAUGUGUGAACUGGUAAGCAAGACACAAGAAUAUUCUUCAUUCCGCAAAAGAGCAUUUGAAAGAUCUCUAAUACACUAAUAACUCGAGACUAUAUAACACGUCUAGACAAAAAUUGAGCAUCCAUAGUUGUUAUACCCCAUUUUAAACUGGUUAAGGUAAGGUCCAACAUACAGGCGAUUUCGCGUUUGAUUAAACUUAAAGAGUCACCACCUAAUUAAUUAUGGUGAAUUAGGACACCUAAUAUUGAUUAAAAUAAUUUAAAGUAUAACUCUGUUAAUGGUCUACUUAACCUAAAGGUUCUAGGUAAGGGUUCAAUUAAUCUAAAGGGAAGUUUUUAAGGCAUCCUUUAAGAUCCAUUUUAAAUGGUUAACCGACCUGACUAUAUUUAAAUAAGGCUAAUUGUUGUAAUGUAAAAAAUGAUUAAUGAGAAAAAAUAGUAAGUUUAUUUGAAAAAAAAAAAGCAUGUCAUGAAAGAGAGCUAAUUUCGAAAGCACGAUUUGAAGACAUUCAAACGACAAAAAUCCCAAUGUUUCUUUUAAAAUGGAAGUUACUUUAGAAUAAAAUGAGUUGAGGCCAAAUAUGUCUUAUUUUGGGGAAGAAAAUUCACUUCUGCCACACAACUAGAUUAAGGAACUAAGUGAAACAAACGUGAUUAAUGAAAUACUCAGGUUUUGUAGACACCAUUGUUUAACAAUUUGUCCAAAAACUUAACCAAGUUUUGACAUAAUUCAGCAAAUACUUAUACAAGAAAUUAAAUAUUCGUCUGUUAUCCUAACAUUGUGAAAUGCAUAGUAAAUAGAUAAGCUAAACAGGAGAGUAGGUAGGAAAAGUUGUUAAGCCACUGAUCUUAAAAUCUUCAUAUCUAAGGGUUGCAUUCUAUAUAGUGAAAUAAGUAUUCCAUCAUUAGCUAGAGCUAAACUUGACGAAAACUAAUGUUAACAUACGCAACUAAGGCAGACUUCAUUCGUUUGGUAAGAAGGCAUAUUGUCACUAUAAAGAUCAAGAUAGGAACUAGUAAAAUAGCUGAAGUAAAACAUCAUGUAAUUUUCUAAAUUACACUAGACUGGAUAGUACAACAAUGCCAUGUUAGCUAGAAAACGCAGAGGACCUAACAGAUUCUUAGACAUUCAUAAAAAUUUGAGAAAGGAAGGGACCAUAUUGUCAUGUAAUUUCUAAUAAUCUUUAUACUACACCAACGAAUACAUAUUGCCAGGUUAACACUUUUGUAUUUACAAACAAGCACAAGAUUCCAAUUAGUAUAUGUAUAAUCAGAGGUAAACAAACAGAGGAAGAGUUCUCUUAAAAAUUUAAAAGCUGGUGCACUCCUAGCAUCUCUUGAUUAAAGAACUAACAAUGAUGAGUUAGUGGUUAUAUUGAGCAUAUCUCAAUAGAAUACAUAGCCUCCCUUAUUGAUCAAAAGUUAUCUAUUUGUGAAAGUAAUUCUUUAAACAAAGUUCUCACUUAAAGUUCCAACUUGAAAAAAAAGUUAUAAAGACUUUGGAUGAAAUGAUUUCCUCAUGACUACAUGAGCAUAAAGUAAAAGGUCUUCUAAAACAAUGGUUUCUAUGACAUUCUUUAGCACAGAUAGGAGAAAAAGUGCAAUGACAAGUCACAAAAAAAUCAGCCUCUCGUGUUAUUUCGCAACACGAAUCAGGGAACAAGUGAAUGGUUUUCAAGGUUUUAAAGAAAUAAUUCCGUGAUGCAACAUCUAUAUAUACGAGCAUGAUACCCCUCCUAACUAUGUUUCUAAAAUGAGUUUUAGCAAUUUAAAGAAAAUCUAAGACCCAAUUCUAUUCCAUGCUGUCAAUAUAUUGCACAAAAAUCCGAAACUUCAUGAAAACAUGACUUUUAAUAAGUCGAGAAUAACGUAUAACACUUCACAAACGAGUUUCAACAAAAUAAAACCCCUAAUACAUAAUUGGGAAAAGGCCAGUACCUCUACUUUGUUAAAUUGUUCACCGUUAUACUUAGUUCCCUACCGUUAGCAAAGUAGAUAAAAUCAUCCCUAACCCUAACAGAUCUCCAACGUGGUAAUGGACCCCUCAAUUAAUUUGCCAACUGGACAAAUAUCAACCCAAAUUAAAAGACCCAUGUCCGACCCAACUAUCACAAAUGAAUGGGUCAAAAUCUGGAAACAAAUCGACGAUGACAAUGAAGAGGUCGUCGAAUCAGUGCCGUCGGAGAAAUUGCAAGACUCGCUGCCUGACGAUUGCUCACUCCUCUUCGUUCCUCCACGGCUAAGCUGCCGCAGUCGCCGCCAUCGACCGCUCUCUUUCUCUUCCAUCAAAUCAUGAGAACGAGAGCUCUCUUCUUUUUCUUUUCUGUUUCAGGGACUCAAAUGGUUUAAUGUGCACACAUAAGCUAAUUUUUCUACAUAUUUUGGAUUUUAUUUGUGGUUGUUAUUGAUUGAUGCUUGACUAGAUUAGUAUGGUUGAGGAGACCCACAAAUAUUUGGAGGGGAAGGUUAGAAAGAGGGAUCCAUCCCCGAGUUAUCUCUUUCCAUGUUCUAUAUCUUUGUCCUGUGGAAACAAAUGAUUAUCAGGACAUGAAAAAAGGGAUAAGAAAAAGAAACAAGAUUUGUCUGUUUCAUUUUGUCAUGAAAAUCCUUUUUUUUUCUACUGAUGAAAUGUUAUUCAAUGUGUAUUUAGUUUUUAUUUUAUUAUGGAAUCUUCUAAAUUUUUCAAAUUGAUGUUAAGUUUUCUGCUCACAAUCUUUUUGAUAAAAUUUUCAGUUGGUUACCUUAUCAUGAAACAUGAUUUCCCAGCCAUAAAUGAAAAAGAAUAAAGAAGGAAGAACAAGAUCAAGAACUGGAAAAGAAGAAACGAGGAAGAAGAAAAGUUGUGGUUGAAUACUUGAAUUAAGAGAGGAGGUGACCCAUAAGGUGGCUGGAUAGUUGGGUCAAAGAAAUGGGCAUAUGUCUUUUAAAAUUUGGGUUGAUAUUUUUCUAGUUGGCAGAUUAAUUGAGGGUCCCAUUGCCACAUUGGACAUCUGUUAGAGUUAGGGAUAAUUUUAUCUACUUUGCUAACGGUAGGGAUAUAUUUAGACGGAAAGUAGAACGAGGUAUAAACUUGAACAAUUUACCAGAGUAGAGGUACAAAUCUGGCAUUUUUCCCUACAUAAUUCCUAAUACCAGA
Molecule: long non-coding RNA, 3150 nt
Filed under: Nicotiana tabacum (common tobacco)
Lineage: Eukaryota; Viridiplantae; Streptophyta; Magnoliopsida; Solanales; Solanaceae
Description: long non-coding RNA (NTAB_LNC002583)
Source: RNAcentral